Molecule: ribosomal RNA, 484 nt
Filed under: uncultured bacterium
Lineage: Bacteria
Description: partial 16S ribosomal RNA
Rfam family: Bacterial small subunit ribosomal RNA
Source: RNAcentral
AUUGAACGCUGGCGGCAUGCCUUACACAUGCAAGUCGAACGGCAGCGCGGACUUCGGUCUGGCGGCGAGUGGCGAACGGGUGAGUAAUACAUCGGAACGUACCCUGUUGUGGGGGAUAACUAGUCGAAAGAUUAGCUAAUACCGCAUACGACCUGAGGGUGAAAGUGGGGGAUCGCAAGGCCUCACGCAGCAGGAGCGGCCGAUGUCUGAUUAGCUAGUUGGUGGGGUAAAGGCCCACCAAGGCGACGAUCAGUAGCUGGUCUGAGAGGACGAUCAGCCACACUGGGACUGAGACACGGCCCAGACUCCUACGGGAGGCAGCAGUGGGGAAUUUUGGACAAUGGGGGCAACCCUGAUCCAGCAAUGCCGCGUGCGUGAAGAAGGCCUUCGGGUUGUAAAGCACUUUUGUCCGGAAAGAAAUCGCGCUGGUUAAUACCUGGCGUGGAUGACGGUACCGGAAGAAUAAGCACCGGCUAACUACGUG